GAGAUCUUCUGGAGAGUCCAGACUGCAGACUGGAGACUCUCUGGAUCAAUGAUGAGCCGUUCAGAGCCACGAUCCCGAAGACCUUUUAUUCAUCACGGGGCGAGUUUGAGACGUAAAGAGGAGCGUGGAGGCGUUUUGGAAAAUAAAGAAGAAGGCUGCAGCUGAUGAGACACUUCCUGUUAGCUCUCCUCAAUAUUAAAUGAACAAAAACAAUCAAUUGUACUUAAAGCUUUUCUUAAGAAUAAAUAUGUGUUGCACAUACACCUGCUGCUACCUACCACCACCUCCCACCCAUCCCGGCACCAAAGAGGAGACUCCAUCGACCCCAGAUACCCAAACUCACUCUUCUUCAGGUUAGCUUCGAGCCCCGCCUUUACCUGCCCCAACACCUCACUUUGAACGAUGUAGUCAUCCGGAUAUCUGCAUACUGAGAGUGGGACGCAGGACCCGGUCAAUGAGGCUGUAUAGGUUGAUCCAUGGGUUGAUAAUGUGACUGUCGGUUUGAAAAAAUUAUUUAUAAUCCAUAAUUUCCAUUUGUAUGUAAAAUUCGGAGCAAAUAAGUUAGCUGCUAAUGGUAGCCACCUUCCGGUGUGCAGCUUCCGGUUUUGGCCACGCGUCACUCUCACUCCUUAUUUGUUAACAUGUUGAUGUG
Trematomus bernacchii (emerald rockcod) is the source of this 652-nucleotide long non-coding RNA. RefSeq lists it as uncharacterized. The record is from RefSeq and is a predicted model, not a curated record. Lineage: Eukaryota; Metazoa; Chordata; Actinopteri; Perciformes; Nototheniidae. The transcript is spliced from 3 exons.